CAAGAUUAGGUAAACUUAGCAUAGAUGAUAGGGUAAUAGAAGGAGUAUGUUUAACAGUCUUAGAACCCUCAACAUUAUAGAUUGACCCAUCAGCUAUAAAAAGGAGAAGGUGCUUUAUAAGAUCGAAAGCUAGUAAAAAUAUGAGGAUUACCUAUCAUGUGAUCCAUGGCACCAGAAUCAAUGACCCAUUUAUAUGAAGAGGAAAUAAGACAAGUUUUACUUGUCUCAACCACUACUAAAGGCAUUGAGAUAAUUUUAACAAUAUGGGUCUUACUGUCAGAAACCAUUUCAACCGAAAUUCUAUACUCCUAUACCUUCAAACGAAUUAAAGAAAGAUACCAAAAUGUGAACAGUAGGCUACUACUGAAGAAACAGGCAUGAACAGUACCAGAAUGGACAUGACAGUACCAGAAUGCGAUCCAAACCAAAAACAAUUCCACCCAAUAUCCAAACGACAAAUGGACCACAGAUCUGACGAGGGGACUUCGAGGUGAGUAAGAAACAAAUAUUACCCUAUACGAGUAACCUAAAAGAACAGGAGCCCUAAGUCUCCAAACAAAACAUAAAAUGAAAAAAUUCAAAUCUCUACGGGAGAGACUCUGAUACCAUGUAAUAAGAUAAGAAAUAAUUGAACAAUUUCAAUGUAUCUUCUCUAUUGAAGUAAGUGUGUAUAUAUAUAGAUUACAAGGUCUUGUUAAGGCAACUCCUGAGAAUUCUCUAUCAAUUAUUUAGCCUAUAAUUAUGUAAUCUCCUAAAAUUAUGUAAUCUCCUAUGAUUAUAUACAUAUUAUAUUCACCCUCUAACAAUAUAUAGAAGAAAAUUUCUAAAUUAUAUUAUAAAAUAUAUAUUUUAUAUUAAAUUAAUUAUUUAUAUAAAUAAAUUUGGAUGAUUGAUACUCAAAAAAUAAAAUUAAGAAAAUAAUAUUCUUCACAAAUAAAAAAAGUAUGAACUUAAAUUAAUUACCAUUACACCGAACAGAAUUUAAAAAAUUAAAAAAUUAAAUCAUUUAUAAAUUAUCUAACCAAUAUUAUGAAAUAAUCAUAUUAAAUGGAAGUAAUUAGUUUUAUAUUAAAUUAAUUACACACAAACCAAGCCUGAAACCGUAAAGGGUCGACAUGUCAUCAAGACAUCGGACAGGUCAGUACAGGUCGACAGGUUGUUAAGACUGGUACAGGUCGACAGAUCGUUAAGACUUCAGACAGGUCGAUGCAGGUCAUUAAGAGGUUGGACUCUCAGGAUGUCGGUAAACAUUGGUUGACAGGUCACUUAUAAUACCCCCUCAAGAUGGAGCAUGAAGGUUCCGAAUGCCCAACUUGCCAAGAAGAAAAUGAAAUUGAUCGUUGCCCAAGGCCUUAGUGAAGAUAUCAGCUGACUGGAUGGAACUACGAACAUUGACCAUGCGAAUGUUGCCACUGAGUAUUUCAUUGCGAAUAAAGUGGCAGUCCACUUCGAUAUGUUUGGUGUGUUCGUGAUAGACAAGAUUGGCUGUAAUGUGCAGAGCAGCUUGACUAUCACAAUAUAAUUGCAUAAGCAUAGUUUAAGACACUCUAAGAGAGAUUAGGAGGCCUUUAAACCAUUUAAGAUCACAGGCACAGUGAUCAUAGACCUAUAUUCAACCUCACAGAGGAGUGAGACACAAUUAGCUACUUCUUAGUCUUCCAAGAAAUGGGAGAGCCACCCAAAAGAACAAGAUAGCCAAUAAGAGACCUGCGGGUCAAAGAGUAAAUAGCCCAGUCAGAGUCACAGUAAGCGGUCAAGGCAAGGUUAAAAUUGGCAAGCAUCAAGAUGCCCUGGCUGGGCUAGCCUUUGAGAUAACGGACUACUCGGAGAGUAGCCUCCCAAUGAAUUUGCAGUGGUCGUUGCAUGAACUGCGCAAGAAUAUGCACAUAGUAGGACAAUUUGGGCUGAGUAAUAGUGAGAUAAAUAAGAUGACUCACCAAGCACCGAUAGGAAGUAGGAGUAGCAAAGGCAGCUUCCUUCGCAAAAGCCAGCUUAUGACUUUGUUCUAGAGGAGUGGCAGUCGGUUUGAAACCCAACAAACCAACAUCAAAAAUUACAUAUAAGGCAUACUUAUGUUGACACAGAAAAAGGCCUUCAGCGGUGCGGGUUACCUCGAGUCCUAAGAAGAAUUUCAGGGUUUCCAAGACUUUCAUGUGGAAACAGCGGCUCAAGUACUCCUUGAAUUUUUGAACAGCAAAAAGAUUAUUGCAUGCGAUAAUGAGAUUAUCAACAUUAAUAAGAACAUUCAAAGGAAGCGAUCCAACAUGAAGAAUGAACAAGGAAUAAUCUGAAUAGAAUUGUUGAAAUUCAUAGGCUCGUAAAAAAGCAGCCAGCUUGACAAACCAACAACGAGGAACUUGACGCAAAUAGUAGAGAGACUUGCAGAGGUGACAGACUUUGCCAGAGGAGGAAGAGCAAAGCCGGGUGGCAUUUUCAUGUAGACUUCUUCUUGCAAGUCACCGUGUAAAAAAUCAUUAUGGACGUCCAUUUGAUAUAAUUCCUAAUUCUUGGUAGCUGCGACUACAAGAAGAGUACGGACCGUACCCAUUUUCAUUGUGGGUGCAAAGGUGUCCUGAUAAUCAAGCCCUUUAACUUAUUUAUUGUCCAAGAUAACCAGUCGUGCCUUGUAUCGUUCAAUACUCCCAUCAGAAUUAUACUUGAUUUUGUAUACCCAUUUGCUGGCAAUUGUGCGCUUCCCAGAAGGUAAAGCUUGACUGUCCAUGUAUCAUUGUCCUCCAAAGCUUGAAUUUUUGUGUGCAUGGCCUCUCUCCAUCGGGCAUCUUGAAAAGCUUUAAUAUAAGAGGUGGGUUCAUGUCCUGCAGUAAUCACUCUCAAGAAACACCUAUGUUGUGUAGAGAAUUUAUCAUAACUCACAUAAUAUGCUAUAGGGUAAGGAGUACCUGAAGAAGAAGCUAAUGGAGAGGAUGAGUACGGCGAAGGGCUUACAUUGAUCGCGUGAGUCACAUAGUCUUUUAAAUGAAUCGAAACCUACUUAGUUCAUUGUCCCCUUCCUAACAGCUCAGAAGCUAUAUCACUCCUUUCGACCUAUUUAUUGCAUCCCCUUUCUGACUGCUCGAGAGCUACAUCACUCCUUCUAACCUCUUUAUUGCAUCCCCUGCCUAACUGCUCGGGAGCUACAUCACUCAUUCUGACUUUCACACUUUUGUCAAAUUGACAUUUGAUCAUGGCUAUAAAUUUCUUAAGAACACAUGUCUCGUCACUUUUCUGAUUGAACAAAAAAAUCUAUAUAGCACGCGAAUAAUCAUCAACUAUGGUCAAGAAAUAACGUGCUCCACAAGAAGCGAGAAUUGUAUAGGGUCCCCAUAAGUCACAGUGUAUCAAAUCAAAACACUGUUGCUUUAUUAUUACUAGAAAAGAAAGCCUUUCUCGUUUGUUUUGCUCGAAAAUAAACUUCACAAGUUUUAUUAGUUUGUCUAUACAAUCUAUCAAUUUCUGAAAUCAAGUCUGUCACCUAAAAUGAUGGAUGUCCCAUUCUAUUAUGCCAAAGCUCAAAGGUCCCUCCACUACUCAGCUUGCAAGCAUGAAUUGAAGCGACUCCUUUGAGAAAGUAAAGCCCCUUUCGUUGCUCACCCACUCCAAUCAAAAUCCUCGAAUUUGGGUCCUGUAUAGCACAUAUUUUGUUAGUGAGUUGAAUAACCAAAUUUGAAUCAUUAAAAAGCUGAGAGACAGAAAUUAGAUUGCAUUUCAAAUUGAGAACAAAAAGAACUCAUCAUAAUUUUAAAUUUCCGCCAAGCAACAUGGUUCCUUCUUUGACUACCAUUGUUUUCUCCCUAUUAGGCAAUCCAACCGAGCAUGGUGCAAUGUCAUGUAAGUCGGUUAGAAAAGCCUUAGUUCCUAUCAUAUGAUAGGAGGCUCCUAUGUCAAUAAUCCAAGGAAAAUUUCUUUAUUUAUCUGUUAACCUCUCAUUAGUAUUCUGAUGAGAGUUUAACAUAUCUAGCAGAGCAGCCCAUUGCUCAUCAUUUAGUCCAUUCAACCCCUUUCAAUCUGCAUCUGUCAUUGCUUUUUGUCCAGUAUCAACUGCAACUGCUUGCGCUGCGUAUGCACGCACAACACCUCCUUUGUUACGUCCUCCUCCAAUCCCACACUUUUGAGUACUACCACGCACACCUAAGUUGCCAUGAGGCCAAGUACCCCACCAUUCUGGAUAGCCUAUUAAUUGAAAAUAACUUUCAGUGUCAUAACCCUUUCAAUUGCAACGAGAGCAAAUAGAAGUUUUAUCUUUAUCCCCUUCUGGAUUCCGAACACUGGCCUGAAUUACAAAACUCAUAGGGUUGUCCCGUUCAACUUUGCUUCUCAUCACGAUUCUCGCUCGCUCUUGCUGAACCACCAUAGCAUAAGUAUGAUUCAAAUUAGGAAAAGGAUCAAUGCUUAAGACAUGAGACUCCAUCAGAAAUUGAUGAACUCUUUCUUCUUUACGCUUUCAUUCCAUUUCAAUGGUAAGAUUGCAUUUGAAGCAUGCACAUGCACACUUCAGUAUUUGAUCAUAGUUAUUAAUCUCAUCCCAUAAGGUUUUGAGUUUACCGAAAUAGAAAAUAAUGGAUUGACCAUCCUGCCUACAGUUUUCUAGGUCAGAUCUCAACUGCUGCAUUCGUGGUCCAUUUCUAAUUGGGAACCUCUACUUAAUAUCUUCCCACAGAUUCUUCAUCUUUUUGGUAGGAGAGAUAGUCGAUGGAAGUGUUGGUUCAAUAGUAUUGAAUACCCAAGAAAUCAAUAUAGAGUUAACUAUCCAACAAUCUUCGAGUUCCAGUGCAUUGUCCUCUGGUUGUUUGAUGGAUCCAUUGAUAAAGCCGUAUUUCAUUUUGGCUCUCAGCGCAGUCCGCAUGGCCCUUGCCCAUUCUUUGUAAUUUUCUCCUUUUAACUUCACUUGGAUAAUCAAAUUGCCUGGGUUGUCAUUGGAAUUUAGUGUAUAAGGAUUGAAAGAGUUUUUCAUUAUUCCUGAAUUCUCCCCGUGUUCCUUUUCAACCUCCAUGUGAAAACGGAGACUCGCACAAUUUAGGAAUGGAAGUUCUUGCCCCCUUUUAUUGACCAUAAUGUGACAAUAUAUACACUAGGUUUACCCCUGUUUAGGAAAAUCCAAGAAUGCAAAACUUCAUAUACAAUACAAGCCAAACUUUUUAUGCUAUACAAACUAAGCUUCCUAUACUGCACAAGACAACGAAGAAAAGAAAAGAUAUUUACAUACAAAUCAAGCCUGAAACCGAGAUGGGUCGAUAGGUCAUCAAGACAUUGGACAAGUCGAUAUAGGUCAACAGGUCGUCAAAACUUCAGACAGGUUAGUGCAGGUCAUUAAGAGGUCGGACCCUCGGGAAGUCUGGUCGAUAUUGGUCGACAGGUUGCUUCCAAUAUGAUAAAAUUAAAUUUGGGAUUGCAAGAGAGGAUUGUCAUUUACAGAGGAAAGUAAGAUUUUUAAAGGAAAUGAAGAUUUAAUUGAGAAUGAAAAUGAUGUUUAGAGAGGAAUCGAUUGCUUGAUAAUCAUGGUUUCAGAGAGAAAGAGGAUUGCCAUGGGAAGUGGAAAUGGAGAUUGAUUAAGAAUGGAGUUAUGUUGUACAUGAGGAGAAAUGUGAAUAGGUGAUUAGUAAAGACGACUAAUAGUAGGGUAUAACAAAAAUAUAUAUUUUGAGUCAAUUUUUCACUAUCGAUAAGUUCGGGACUUCAAUAGACAAAAAAAUUUAUUAGAGGUUUAAGUGAACAAAUAAAAAUUUGU
This 5725-nucleotide long non-coding RNA is filed under the name Manihot esculenta (cassava). RNAcentral describes it as "long non-coding RNA (MESC_LNC001309)". Lineage: Eukaryota; Viridiplantae; Streptophyta; Magnoliopsida; Malpighiales; Euphorbiaceae. The record is from RNAcentral.